This 1181-nucleotide long non-coding RNA is filed under the name Oryctolagus cuniculus (rabbit). RNAcentral's name for it is "lncRNA (ENSOCUG00000032933.1)". Lineage: Eukaryota; Metazoa; Chordata; Mammalia; Lagomorpha; Leporidae. The record is from RNAcentral.
GUCGCCAGCCCCUGAGCAACGGCCGCACCCCGUCGCGCGUGGCUGAAUCCCAGCCUGCACCGCGUGUGGCUCAAUCCCAGCCUGCACCGCGAGGCUUCCUUCCGGUGCACCCUGCCGGCGCCCGCGUCUUCUGCUGACAGGCCGAGGUUCCUGGACUUCAGGAACUCUUUCAAGGAGGACGGGUUUGUGGUCUCCAAAGUGUUUCUGCAGCGCUGGCAGGGGUCUGCUUGCUACGCUUCCCCCUUCCACAGCCAAAAUCUGUGUCUCCCACCGACGCCAGCACUGGGCUGGGCACACAGCACAGAAAGCUCUGCCAAAUGCCCAGGUCCCUGCAGUCGAGGCGCUCGCACUCUAGCGUGAGGAAUGACCAGGCUCCAGACUCGGGACAACGGGAGCGCACCCGGAAGGGGGCCCGCGGGCCCAGGGGCUGGCCCGGCCUAGCACGGAGGAAGAAGGGGCCCUUGGCCCUGGCCCCAAGUGCGCCGUGGCCCCUGUCGUCCACUGCCACCACUCUCGGAGCCUCUCACCACAGCGUCCUCCGGGAACCACUGGAACAUAGCACUGCCACUUCUGGACAAGCAGAGAGAAAGAGACACAAGGUAACAAGCAGUUGGCAGGAACACAGCUGUGACCACAGCUCAAGGACACCAGGACCCAGGUUCUUGGUCCUCUUUGGUUUUCUUCACCACAGACCAAUGGUUGCUCCUACUCCUCUGGAAGCUUCUCUGCAUUAGACGAAGGGAAAUCAGGUCUUCUGAAAUCUGAGUAUUCUUCAUCUGUAUUGGUGUUGAGUUUUGGGUGAAGGUUCAGGUAGGUUCUUGUUUUCCUUGAAGUGUUCCUGUCUGUAGAUGUCCUGGUUAAUGAAGCUGAGUAAUGUGAUCCAAGGUGGAAAAUGUUUUACUGAGGUCACUAAGAGUUUGGCAUGAAUAAGGCCUGAACAAGGAUUUAGCAUUAACUUCCUUGGUUCCCAAAAUUGAACUAACUUUUUAAGACCCUUCUUUAAAGGAUAUGUUUCCAAAUUGCCAUAUACCAUCCAAGUAGUCAACAAAAAAGAAUGAAUUUUUUAUGGGUCUUCCCUUAGUCUGCUUCUAAUCCUAUAUAAAAGUUGGGGCUGAUCAGAGUCCUACAGAAAGAAAUAAGAAACUCAGAUUUUUAAAUAAAAGUUUUUCCUUUUUAUGGCA